UACGGAGGAUCCAAGCGUUAUCCGGAUUUAUUGGGUUUAAAGGGUCCGCAGGCGGAUUAUUAAGUCAGUGGUGAAAUGCUGUCGCUUAACGAUAGCACUGCCAUUGAUACUGGUAAUCUUGAGUAUAGUUGAGGUGGGCGGAAUAAGUCAUGUAGCGGUGAAAUGCAUAGAUAUGACUUAGAACACCAAUUGCGAAGGCAGCUCACUAAACUAUUACUGACGCUGAGGGACGAAAGCGUGGGGAGCGAACAGGAUUAGAUACCCCCGUA
This 269-nucleotide ribosomal RNA is filed under the name uncultured prokaryote. RNAcentral describes it as "partial 16S ribosomal RNA". It matches the Rfam family "Bacterial small subunit ribosomal RNA", at positions 524 to 792 of the family's 1533-position model. The record is from RNAcentral.